RNAcentral lists this ribosomal RNA (301 nucleotides) under uncultured bacterium. RNAcentral's name for it is "partial 16S ribosomal RNA". It matches the Rfam family "Bacterial small subunit ribosomal RNA", at positions 509 to 807 of the family's 1533-position model. The record is from RNAcentral.
CAGUAGCCGCGGGAAUACGGAGGGUGCAAGCGUUAUCCGGAUUUAUUGGGUUUAAAGGGUCCGUAGGCGGAUCUGCAAGUCAGUGGUGAAAUCUCACAGCUUAACUGUGAAACUGCCAUUGAUACUGCAGGUCUUGAGUAAAUUUGAAGUGGCUGGAAUAAGUAGUGUAGCGGUGAAAUGCAUAGAUAUUACUUAGAACACCAAUUGCGAAGGCAGGUCACUAAGAUUUAACUGACGCUGAUGGACGAAAGCGUGGGGAGCGAACAGGAUUAGAUACCCCAGUAGUCCCUGUCUCUUAUAC